RNAcentral lists this long non-coding RNA (1204 nucleotides) under Hordeum vulgare. RNAcentral describes it as "long non-coding RNA (HVUL_LNC020517)". The record is from RNAcentral. Lineage: Eukaryota; Viridiplantae; Streptophyta; Magnoliopsida; Poales; Poaceae.
CUAUUAAGUGCCCAGGCGGUGGUUCCCUUCUAAAAAAAACUUUCCUAAUUUAAUUCUUUUCCGAAACAGAAAAACAAAAGUGAAUAAAAAGGAAACAAAUCAAAUAUUUAAUAUGGGGUAUUAUAUACCAAAAAAAUCAGAAAAAUAUCCUCUACCCGAAUAACAUUUUUUCAAAGCAAAAAUAAAAACUUUUAAAAAAAUGUUUUUUCAGAAAUUCCCCAAAAUGCUUUAUUUUCUUUUUGCAAAUAUUUUUGCAAAUAAACUUUGGAUUUUUGGUUCCAAUAUUUCAGAAAUGCCCGCACUUUGGAGGGUCAUUUUCCUCCGCUCUCUCUCUUGCGUGCAAGAGAGUAUUUCCCCGGGCAUGUCUCGUGUGAGGAAAAUUAGAAAUGCAAAAACAAAAGUCGAAAAAAUUCAAAUGCCAACUUUAUUUCAAUCAAUAUGCAUAAAUGCUUAGCUACAAUGUAAAACAUUUUCAAUUAAAAAAAUUGGGAUGUUACAGUUUGUGAUCAGUCACUUUAAGAACAUAGGGUUUCUAGAGAUAAUAAACCUGCGGUUAUCAGCAUUAUAAUCCUGAAUGAAUAUGAAACAUCAGUUGAAGAAUCUAUAUCCAUAAAAAAAAAGAGAAAAGGGAAAAAUUAAUAGAGGAAUUAAUCAUGGUCAGAUCGGACCAGCCUGACUAGUGUAACAUAAUGACAACCGUAGUUUGUCUCGUAGCAAUUUGCAUGAUGAAUUGAGGCGCAAACCCACUCAAAUAUGUUGUCCUACCAAUCAUGAGGAAAUAACCUGUUACCAAAAAAAGUAAUUCCCACCAUUGUUUCGAUAUCCAUCCUCUUGUGAACAUGCUAUUGGCAAUGACAAAACAUUGUAUCUUGCCACUGGCAACAGCUUCCUUCACUCGCCCUGAGCAUCUCAUCAAGGAAUUCAUAAUUUUUCCUCUUGGUUGUGAAAAUCUUGCUAUUUUUUGUUUGCCUCCUAUGGCAAUGUUUUUUUCCUUACAAUGCGAUCAAAUUGUAUAUAAAAGCAAUUCCAAUGUGCCGGCGAAGUUUUUUUUGCUUUUUAUCCGUUUGGAUCGGUCGAGCGGAUGGACAUGUCUGGUUUUGCCUUUGGGUGCAUGGGCGCAUCCUAUGCAACCAACGCAUUAGUCCGUGCGGGAAUUUAAAAAAAAAUAAAAAGAUUAAAAUAUUUAAACAUAAAUAAAAAUGCA